Molecule: ribosomal RNA, 479 nt
Filed under: Salmonella enterica subsp. enterica serovar Agona
Lineage: Bacteria; Pseudomonadati; Pseudomonadota; Gammaproteobacteria; Enterobacterales; Enterobacteriaceae
Description: bacterial SSU rRNA
Rfam family: Bacterial small subunit ribosomal RNA
Source: RNAcentral
AGGUGCUGCAUGGCUGUCGUCAGCUCGUGUUGUGAAAUGUUGGGUUAAGUCCCGCAACGAGCGCAACCCUUAUCCUUUGUUGCCAGCGAUUCGGUCGGGAACUCAAAGGAGACUGCCAGUGAUAAACUGGAGGAAGGUGGGGAUGACGUCAAGUCAUCAUGGCCCUUACGACCAGGGCUACACACGUGCUACAAUGGCGCAUACAAAGAGAAGCGACCUCGCGAGAGCAAGCGGACCUCAUAAAGUGCGUCGUAGUCCGGAUUGGAGUCUGCAACUCGACUCCAUGAAGUCGGAAUCGCUAGUAAUCGUGGAUCAGAAUGCCACGGUGAAUACGUUCCCGGGCCUUGUACACACCGCCCGUCACACCAUGGGAGUGGGUUGCAAAAGAAGUAGGUAGCUUAACCUUCGGGAGGGCGCUUACCACUUUGUGAUUCAUGACUGGGGUGAAGUCGUAACAAGGUAACCGUAGGGGAACCUGC